This is a long non-coding RNA of Rhipicephalus microplus (southern cattle tick), 443 nucleotides long. The record is from RefSeq and is a predicted model, not a curated record. Lineage: Eukaryota; Metazoa; Arthropoda; Arachnida; Ixodida; Ixodidae.
CUCGUGCUUGCGCGUAUUCAGCUUUGCCUCAAUGCAAGUUUGAGCAAUUAUCAGCUGCUGGUGAGGCAAGAUGAUUUAGCAGUCCACAAAGAGAGAGCAGAGCGUCAGGAUGUUCUCUCUGCCGAACGUUAUCGACUAUUACCUAAAACUAGAAUGAACAUUGCGAUUUUCUGAAAAGCACCGGCGCAGAUUAACAAAAAACGACUUGAAAAACCUCAGUGAUAUUUGCGUCUUCAGGUGUGACUUCAUUACGGGUGCAGUUCCAGGUGGUUCUGUGCGUUCUAAUUCGCUGAGAGGGUGCAUAAAGUCUGAGGAUGGUCCCGAAGUUGUGUUUGCGGAUGGUACUGAUGAAAUAUGUCGCUCGAUGUCAAGCUCUGCUGUGCGCCGGGGCUGAACCUGUUUUCUUCCUGCAUUAAAAAAUUGUGCUCUGUUUUAAGCCUUUC